This 417-nucleotide long non-coding RNA is filed under the name Homo sapiens (human). RNAcentral describes it as "non-protein coding lnc-SAMD11-8:4". Lineage: Eukaryota; Metazoa; Chordata; Mammalia; Primates; Hominidae. The record is from RNAcentral.
AAAUGGAGUUUUUCAUCCCUUCCUUCCAAUUCUCCUUCCAGCCUUUCUUGAUUUCCAGAAUGAGAAAUCAUUAAGUCAUAUACUGAGCCACAAAUAACAUUAUAAAUGUGACAAUUACAUGAUAAUCUUUGGGGGGAAAACAUUCUGUGAUUUCUAACAUAUUUACAUUAAAAUCACAGCUAUUUGAAAUUCGAAGUCCACUUCUGAACACCCUUGGAUCUGGGAGCAAAUUGGCACUGCAUGUGUGCCUGGGCUCCUGAAGGGCCUCACAUACAUGGGGAAGGGCAGAGAAAGAGAAACAACAACAUCCACUACCUCUAUUUUUAAAGUCAGCCUUACUACAAAAUACAGAAAGUAUUCUUCACUGGGCAGACCAAAUCAACUUUGCUCAAUCUUCGCCUUUGGGUUCCUUUAGGU